Molecule: ribosomal RNA, 834 nt
Filed under: Perforatella incarnata
Lineage: Eukaryota; Metazoa; Mollusca; Gastropoda; Stylommatophora; Hygromiidae
Description: Monachoides incarnatus partial large subunit ribosomal RNA
Source: RNAcentral
AAUUAUUAUUAGAUUUUUAAAUAAUUAUUCACGAAAUAAAUUGAGCUAAAUUUUUGGUAUUUUUGGAAAUUAUAACUAUAUGUUACAAAAUAUAUUAACUAAAUAGAUUUAGGGGUGAAAGGCCUAUCAAAUUUUAUGAUAUCUUGAAGUAUAUAAAAUAUAUCAAGUAUUUCUAAUUCAACUAUUGAAUGUUUAGGUUCAGUAGUAACAUUAUAUUUUUUAAAAAAUUGUUCAAUUUUUUUAAGUAAAAUUGAGUUAGAGCAUAAAAUAUACAUCAAAUUUUUAUUAUAUGAAUAUAAAUAUACUACGGUUAUUAAUAAAUAUAAUCAUAUAUAAUGUAAUUAUUAGUAAUAGUUUAUUAAACUAUAUAAAGGAAUUCGGCAAGAAAAUUUUUCACCUGUUUAUCAAAAACAUAGCUUAUUGAAUAUCAUAAUAAGUAACCCCUGCUCAAUGGAAAUCUAAAUAGCCGCAGUACCUUGACUGUGCAAAGGUAGCAUAAUCAAUUGGCUUAUAAUUGAAGUCUGGAAUGAAUGGGUAAUCUGGAAAAUAACUGUCUUUAUUUGUAGUAUUUUGAAUUUACUUAUAAAGUGAAAAUACUUUAAUAUAAAUAUAAGACGAGAAGACCCUAGAAAUUUUUUGUUAAUAACUUUUGUUGGGGCGACAGGGUAACAUAUAAACUUACUUACAUUUAUAUAAAUCUUAUAAGGUAUGUAACUAAAUUACUCUAGGGAUAACAGCAUAAUAUAUAAAAGUUUAUGACCUCGAUGUUGGACUAGGUAAUUAAAUAUUUAAAAGAUAUCUUAAUUUGCUCUGUUCGAGCAGUAUCACCUACAU